This 253-nucleotide ribosomal RNA is filed under the name uncultured bacterium. Its description in RNAcentral is "partial 16S ribosomal RNA". It matches the Rfam family "Bacterial small subunit ribosomal RNA", at positions 524 to 776 of the family's 1533-position model. The record is from RNAcentral.
UACGAAGGUGGCAAGCGUUGUUCGGAUUUACUGGGCGUACAGGGAGCGUAGGCGGUUGGAUAAGCCCUCCGUGAAAUCUCCAGGCUUAACCUGGAAAGUGCAGAGGGGACUGUUCAGCUAGAGGAUGGGAGAGGAGCGCGGAAUUCCCGGUGUAGCGGUGAAAUGCGCAGAUAUCAGGAAGAACACCCGUGGCUAAGGCGGUUCUCUAGUACGGUACUGACGCUGAGACGCGAAAGCGUGGGGAGCGAACAGG